CCUACGGAUGGCAGCAGUGGGGGAUAUUGCACAAUGGGGGAAACCCUGAUGCAGCGACGCCGCGUGUGGGAAGACGGUCCUCUGGAUUGUAAACCACUGUCCCCAGGGACGAAGAUGACGGUACCUGGGGAGGAAGCUCCGGCUAACUACGUGCCAGCAGCCGCGGUAAUACGUAGGGAGCGAGCGUUGUCCGGAAUUACUGGGUGUAAAGGGAGCGUAGGCGGGACUGCAAGUUGGGUGUCAAAACUACCGGCCCAACCGGUAGCCGCCCUUAAAACUGCAGUUCUUGAGUGAAGGAGAGGGCGGGGGAAUUCCUAGGGUAGCGGUGAAAUGCGGAGAUAUUAGGAGGAACACCAGUGGCGAAGGCGGCCUGCUGGGCUUUUACUGACGCUGAGGCUCGAAAGUGUGGGGAGCAAACAGGAUUAGAUACCCGUGUAGUC
This 440-nucleotide ribosomal RNA is filed under the name uncultured bacterium. RNAcentral describes it as "partial 16S ribosomal RNA". It matches the Rfam family "Bacterial small subunit ribosomal RNA", at positions 338 to 795 of the family's 1533-position model. The record is from RNAcentral.